Molecule: long non-coding RNA, 701 nt
Organism: Macadamia integrifolia
Lineage: Eukaryota; Viridiplantae; Streptophyta; Magnoliopsida; Proteales; Proteaceae
Exons: 3
Source: RefSeq, a predicted model, not a curated record
UUAAUUUUUUUUUUCAAACUUAAAAUAAGAUAUUUCCUUUCUGAUUUCCUUGUGUAUCCUCUCUCUCUCCACAUUCCUUCUCUUUUUGGAACUUGAAAUCAAUUAAAAUCUUUUCUUUCUUUUUUCUCUUGAUAAGAAAUUCAAUCAAAGUCACAUCCCCUAAAGACCUGGUUUCUCUCUCUAAUUGUCCAAGCAGAAGUCUCUUUGUGAUGGAGAGAACUCAUGUCGCUCAAUUGUGUUCUAUGCUUGAUCCGCCGCAAGGCUGCAACAAAGCCACCUAUCUCUCUUUUGCCAAUGCCCAAGGAUGCUACGGACGAGGUAGAUAAGGCUCUCUAUUGGACUCAUGAAUAGAUGCCGCUACAUGCAUUCUCAAAGCCCUAGCAGUUGAUUUUAAGGCCACAAGCCCCCAUCGAAAUCUAUCGAAUCCCUGGUAGCCUCUUUAUCUUUCUUUACCCAUAUUGGUUAUGUGCUCCUUCAAUAAUGUUAAUGAAAUCCCAGCUUGCAAUGACCCAAAACUUUUAAGAGAGACUAUUAGAGGAGAGUGGGGUCUUAAUGGGUACAUUGUAUCUGAUUGCUAUUCAAUGGAUGUAAUAACUCAUAGAAAAAAAUGGCUUGAUAAUUCAAAUGAAGAUGUUAUUGCAAAAUCACUAAAUGCAGGUACUAUUGGGAAUGUGUCUUAUCAAUCAAAUUGCAAAAUAUUA